RNAcentral lists this ribosomal RNA (468 nucleotides) under uncultured bacterium. Its description in RNAcentral is "partial 16S ribosomal RNA". It matches the Rfam family "Bacterial small subunit ribosomal RNA", at positions 28 to 507 of the family's 1533-position model. The record is from RNAcentral.
GACGAACGCUGGCGGCGUGCUUAACACAUGCAAGUCGAACGGAAAGGCCCUGCUUUUGUGGGGUGCUCGAGUGGCGAACGGGUGGGUAACACGUGAGUAACCUGCCCUUGACUUUGGGAUAACUUCAGGAAACUGGGGCUAAUACCGGAUAGGAGCUCCUGCUGCAUGGUGGGGGUUGGAAAGUUUCGGCGGUUGGGGAUGGACUCGCGGCUUAUCAGCUUGUUGGUGGGGUAGUGGCUUACCAAGGCUUUGACGGGUAGCCGGCCUGAGAGGGUGACCGGCCACAUUGGGACUGAGAUACGGCCCAGACUCCUACGGGAGGCAGCAGUGGGGAAUAUUGCACAAUGGGCGGAAGCCUGAUGCAGCAACGCCGCGGGCGGGAUGACGGCCUUCGGGUUGUAAACCGCUUUCGCCUGUGACGAAGCGUGAGUGACGGUAAUGGGUAAAGAAGCACCGGCUAACUACGUG